Carcharodon carcharias (great white shark) is the source of this 3830-nucleotide long non-coding RNA. RefSeq lists it as uncharacterized. Lineage: Eukaryota; Metazoa; Chordata; Chondrichthyes; Lamniformes; Lamnidae. The transcript is spliced from 3 exons. The record is from RefSeq and is a predicted model, not a curated record.
UGAAGAUUGAGCUUCACAGACUAAAAUUCCUCCUGUGUCCAACAUCUGAUAUUAGAAGAGGAGGAUUUGCAAACAGAAAUCUCAAACCGAACUUCACGUCAAGAUCUGACAGGGUCAUUCAAUUCAUCAAGAACUGAAUAUCAUCAGCCUUUGUAUCUGGGAGAAAUGUUUGUCUGUUCUGUCCACUUCAUAAGAUUUCAAACAUCAAUAUGACUGGAAAAACACUGAGACACACACACACCUGAGUGAGAGUGUUUCCAGUGCACUGACUGUGGAAAGAGCUUUAACCAGUUACACAGACUGAAAAAACAUCACCACAUUCACAACGGGGGGAAACUGUACACGUGUUCUCUGUGUGGGCGAAGCUUCAACUGAUCAUCGGCCCUGGAGAGACACAAGGACACCCAUACCAUGGAGAAACCGUGGAAAUGUGGGGACUGUGGGAAGGGAUUCAAAUCCCCAUCUGCACUGGACACUCAUCGACGCAUUCACACUGGGGAGAGGCCGUUCAUCUGCUCUGUGUGUGGGAAGGGAUUCACUAAGUCAUCGAACCUGCUGACACACAAGCGAGUUCACACCGGGGAGAGGCCGUUCAUCUGCUCCGUGUGUGGAAAGAGAUUCACUGAGUCAUCCAGCCUGCGGAGACAUCAGAAACUUUUCAACUGAUUACAGAUUUUGGUUUUUGCUUUUAUCGCUGCUGUUAAUCUGAUCCAGGACUGAACCAUGUUCAUUCUGAUUGUUGGUGAAGUGGGAGAGUCAGAGGGUUUCUUUCUGCUGGACUGGCUGGUCUCACGACUUUGUUUCCAGUGGCUGAUGCUCUUUGAGACUUGUUGUGAAUAUCUAGUUGCAUAUUUCAUAUGAAUUACAGAAUGAAAGAGUGUUUGGAAUGGAAAAGAUAUUUAGUUUGAAACUGUUUGGAACUUUCCAGAACAUGCCAGGUUGCCAUGGAGAUGGGCUGUGCUGGUUGGAAGGUUCUUUUGUUUAAUUUUUCUGGGGGUUUCUCACAGAAGGAAACUACAAAAGUACCAGUGGAAGCUGCCUGUGGUAGAUUGGGAAGCUACAUUAAAAGUUAUGAUGCUAGACGGACAAUUUAAGGAAUGUGGAGGCAGUGGCUUCGAUACAGAGUAAUGCUCUGGGGUCGUGGGAUCGAUUCUAACCAUGGCAAAUGGUACAAUUUGAAUUCAAUCAGUAAAAAUCUGGAAUUAAUUGAAGAAAUGUUCCUCAUUUCCCCAAAACAAAUUGAACCAAUCAGCUUGGAGCCUCUUCUAACUGUGAACGAUAACUUGUAUCUAAACAGGGUGUCCUGGAACACCUGGUGCUCUGACCCCUUCCUGACCUUAACACUUUUUUUCCCUUAAAAGCUACAUUACAGUAUCUGGAAUUUAAAGAGACAGGCAAUUGAAGACUUUUCAUUAUUAAGCUUACAAUUUGAUUAUGUGGCCUUAUUAAUUACACAAAUGUGUCACUGAGGUGAAGUCUAACAGCCAACACUGAUAAAGUAUUGAUAAUGUUCAUUCUGACACUUGGUGAAGUGGGAGGGUCGGAGGGUUUCUUUCUGCUGGACUGGCCGGUCUCACGACUUUGUUUCCAGUGGCUGGUGCUCUUUGAGCCUGGGAGUGCACAUUUCCACUGAAAUGAUUCCCAAAAGCUGGUGAACGCAUUUAUUUUAUCCUGGAUAGUAAAGUGGUAGAUUUAAAAUAAAUACAUUUGUCUCUGUUCCAUUGAGUCUACAGCACAGGGCCAGGCCAGUCGGCUCAAUUAGUCUAUGUCAGUAUUUAUUCUCCACAUGAACCUCCACCCACGCCUCUUCAUCUACCCCCAUCAGCAUAUCCUUCUAUUCCUUUCUCCCUCAUGUAUGUAUCUAGCUUCCCCUUAAAUGUAUUCAUGCUGUUCACCUCAACCACUCGCUGUGGUAGUGAGAUCCACAUUCUCAUCACUCGCUGGGUAGAGGUUUCUCAUGAAAUUCCGAUUGGAUUUUGAACCCCUUCAUAUUUUUAAAGACUUCCAUCAGGUCACCCUUCAGUCUUCCCUUUUCUAGAGAAAAGCAGCCCCAGCCUUUCCUGAGGUUUAAACGUUCUCAGUUCUGGUGUUAUUCCAGUGAAUCUUUGUUGUCCCUUCUCCAGUGCCUCUAUUUCCUUUUUCUAAAUGGAGACAGUACUCCCAGUGUAGUCUAACCAUGGUUCAAAACAAGUUGAACAUAACCUCCUUGCUUUUCACUUCUAUCCCACUAGAAUAGAACCCUAUAUCUGGGCCCCACACUUUAGGAAAGAUGUGAAGUUCUUAGAGAGGGAGCAGAGGAGAUUUACGAGAAUGGCACCAGGGAUGGAGAGGCUGGAACAACUGAAAUUUCUGUCUUUGGAACAUGAGUCAUUAGGACACACAAGGAGGCCAUUCAGCCCAUCAAGUUCAUAUUUCCCUCAAGUGCCCAUCCAAUUGCCUUUUGUUCAUCAUUUCUGCUUCCACCCUCAUCGGUAGUGAUUUCCAGGUCAUUACCACUCGCUUUGUAAAAAUAUUCCUCCUCACAUCCCCCUUGCAUCUCCUGACCAAAACCUUAAAUCUGUGUCCCUCUCAUCUCUGUACCAUCAGCUGAUGGGAACAGCUUUUCUUUGUCCUCCUUAUCUAAACCUGUCAUAGUAUUGUGCACCUCUAUCAAAUCUCCCCUCAACCUCCUUUGCUCCAAGGAGAACAACCUCAGCCUGAUGUCUACAAUAAAGAGCAAACAAAAGAUGUUAAUGCCUGAAAUCAAUUGGGAAUGUUUGAUUUCUGUUUUAAAGAUAUGAUGAAUAUAUUGUAUUGGACAGUAAAGGAAUUGGAGUAACUCACUCGGGUGAUCAGUGGAAUGUAUCAAUCUGGUAUCCACCUACAUUGUAUCGAAAGUCAGGGAGGUGUAGAUGAGAUGAAUAAGUUGAUAGAUUUCUCCGGGAGAUAUAUACAUCCUUACCUAUGAAUUUUGUUUUAAAGAAAACCACAUUUGACAGCCUGGCCACCACCUGAAAUAUCAGGACCGUAACAGGGGGAGAUAAGCAAAGACAGACACUCACUUUGAUCUUUUGAUAAGCGCACCUGAAAGUUCAGAAUGUGUGGCCUGACAUUGGGAUAUUGGUGUGAGUGUGCAGAUGUGAUUUGUUACUUGUGAAGACAAUAGCACACGUAAAUUCAUGGUGAAGUGGACUGAAGACUGGAUCCCAAACAUGUGCAGCUACUGAACAAACAGCAUGACAUGAAAUGGUUAAUGUGACCAAGAGAAUGAGACACAACAUUCUGACAUUAUCAAGGUGCAAAAGGGACCAAACUUCAGCAGAAAUCUGGCAGAUCUGAGAACAGACGACUUGCUAUGUGGGAACAGGGAGACAAACAGCUCCCAGGGGACAGAGAAAACAAGAGUGCCCUGAAUCCUAGACGACACCUGGGUGUCAAGGCCACCAUGUUUUCACUGCUUGGCAUGGGAAUGCUGACACCCUGUACUGGGGACGGAGCGUGGGAAGCCAAUUGUUUGCGAGUUUGACGUGGCUUGGGCAGGUACAGAUGGUUCAAUGACACGUUUUGUAAUUGGUCCGUUCAAAUGUUAGCUCGGCAAUGAUUGGGUUAAAUCAGUCUCCAUAGGCUUUGUGAUGUAAAAAAGUAUCAGAGGGGAUUCCCCGAGCACAGAGAUUUGUAGAGGUUUUACAUAUUGCAUUGACUAUUGCCAUGGCAUCUGGGGCAGACCAGGGAGCACUUAUGUGGAGAUGGUGCUUCUACCCAGAGUGUAAUGGUAAUGCUGCUGCACUUUGAUGCUACUGCUCAGACAUGAGCAUGUUUCAGGUCUUAUUUAUACUGAAUAAAAUCUAACC